RNAcentral lists this ribosomal RNA (497 nucleotides) under uncultured bacterium. RNAcentral's name for it is "partial 16S ribosomal RNA". It matches the Rfam family "Bacterial small subunit ribosomal RNA", at positions 28 to 507 of the family's 1533-position model. The record is from RNAcentral.
GAUGAACGCUGGCGGCGUGCCUAAUACAUGCAAGUCGAGCGAACAGAUAAGGAGCUUGCUCCUUUGACGUUAGCGGCGGACGGGUGAGUAACACGUGGGUAACCUACCUAUAAGACUGGGAUAACUUCGGGAAACCGGAGCUAAUACCGGAUAACAUUUGGAACCGCAUGGUUCUAAAGUGAAAGAUGGUUUUGCUAUCACUUAUAGAUGGACCCGCGCCGUAUUAGCUAGUUGGUAAGGUAACGGCUUACCAAGGCGACGAUACGUAGCCGACCUGAGAGGGUGAUCGGCCACACUGGAACUGAGACACGGUCCAGACUCCUAAGGGAGGCAGCAGUAGGGAAUCUUCCGCAAUGGGCGAAAGCCUGCCGGAGCAACGCCGCGUGAGUGAUGAAGGGUUUCGGCUCGUAAAACUCUGUUAUUAGGGAAGAACAAAUGUGUACGUAACUGUGCACGUCUUGACGGUACCUAAUCAGAAAGCCACGGCUAACUACGUG